CAAGAAAUAAUUCAUCUUUAUCCGUCUCAACAGGAAGUUGCGGAUUUCAGCUGCGACAAGCUAUCGUGGAGGGAGAGUACAACGGCAACGUAGUCGGAGGGACGGCGGUUUUCCGGCUGGUUCUUGGGUAUCGCUCAGCCAGGACAUUCCCGUUUCAGAGAAAUGGAUGCUGUGAUUGGCUACCAUUUUACACUGGUUCAUGAUCUCUACAGCUAUUCCGGUCGAAUAAGAUUAAGGAUUCCGUAUUUUCCGACGAGAUUCAUUACAAUUGUACUGAAUAAAUUUUCGUAGUCUGGACGCUUACAUUCAUAUCUUCUGUUAGCUAGUGCAUUCGAAUAUCAUCAUUAACUUUCCAUAAUUCAUUGAAUUGAAUGAAGCUGUUUCUAUAUAGGGCUGUGCAGCAAAUAGAGAUUUAGUCAAUGUAGACCGUUAAAACUUUUAUGGGCAUUCAAUGUGUGCUAGCUGCCUCCAUUUAUGCGUUUGAGUUACAUCUGCUUUAUAAGGCCCUGUAAUUCUGCAGGCUUAACUUUUACUUUGAUCUCUCUAAUCUUUAUGGAGAUGGAGAUUGGAGAUUUCAAUUUUUACUGUCCUUUAGACGUUACUUUCUUGAUGUUCUCCAAGUGUUUGCAUUUGCUUCAGCUCUGACAUUGGCAAGGUAUUGUCUAAGAUUUAUCUGGUCUGAAAGCAGGUGAUGAUCAUUUGUACAUUUUAUUUGUGCAGGAGUUGUUGGGAUGAGAUUGCUUGAUUUGAAGGGUUUCUCAAAUCUUAUGAUUGUUUAUAUAUAUGUAUAUAUAUGUUCAUAGUAAUUUCAGAGGUCUUUGUUUGGCUGCUGAGAAAAGAAAGAAGGGAAGAAACUUAGACUUGGGAUCUUUCUUGUGAAAAUGAUAGUGUUGGUUUUGGUUACAUUCUAGACUGUUUCUGAUAUUCAAUCAGAGGAGCUGACUUUCCCAAAACAACAUUAAAUAGAAUGUUUGUUUGUUUUCCAUGUCAUGGAAUCAAUUAGAAGAUAAUUGAUGUCUGAUUGUGUGUUUUAUUUAGUGUUGCACAAAUUCAUUGUCAGCUUCAUAAGAAUUGGAAGGAUCAACCUUACCAACCAGGAAAUUUGGUGAUCUGUUCAUCAUUAAAGAAUAAAUGAGGAAUGAAUUUUCAGAUUUGGUAGUGAACAAUAUGUGUAAAAGUCCAAGCAUGGAGAAGAACAAAGGGAAAGUUGAUGAUGUUGAGUCAUUUAAGAGAAGAAACUGUAUUGUACAAGAGAGUGAAGAUGAUCCUGGUGAAUCAGAAGCAAGUGGAGAUAGAAUGAGUCGGUAUUCCUCGACGAGUUCAAUCAACGACGAGCUGCCCGAGCUUGUUGUUUUCCUUCAAGAAACCAACUAUGAAUUUGUGAAAGACAUUUGCAUUGACAAAGCAGGAACUUCUUGUGAGGAGUGCUUUGAGGAGAACUGUGACACACAAAAUGGUUAUGUACCCUGCAUGCUCAAAAGUGAUGUAGCAGAAAGCGACAUCAAAACAACUGAAGAAUCUGAGGACUUGGAGUCGUCGAUUUUGAGUACUGACUCAACACAGGUCGUUGAGAAAAAUUUAUUGAACAAAGUAAAUGAGAACCAAAAGUUUUGUUAUGAUGCAAAAGAUGAUAUCCCUUCUGACUUUUCCAAUAAGAAAUCUGUGCCUAAAUUGCAUCUUGAUAGAAAGGUAACAGGUAAAAGGGUAGCAGCUUCUUCCAACUCUAUUGCAAUAUCAUUGACUAAGAUACUUGAUGAAAACAAGCUCAAAGGCAAAGGAGUUGCUGGAAGCAACAAUGAACAUGGAAACGUCUUUCACGAUUCCGGUUUAUCACCGAGCGGAGUAGGGGGCGGUGGCAGGACAUCCACAGCCGAAGACUAUGCACCAGAAAACCAAACAGGACGGUACAGAAGCAUUUAUGGCUUUGUUUAUCAGAGAGAUGAUGGUUCCUCUGAGGUUGAUCCUGCUUUCAACACAGUGAGAAGGCCCUCAUUUUCAUCUUAUGUGGGCAGUGACUCACUUGGGUCGAAUGACAGCACCAACAGCUCUCAUUCUUUUGCUUUUCCAAUUUUACAGACAGAAUGGAACGGAAGCCCAGAAAGAAUGGCGACCGCUGACCCGAGGCAAACACGAAGGCUGCAACUGUGGAGGCUAUGUCUUCCCUGCUGCAAUUUCUGAGCAUCUUAUUGCCCAACCUCCCUCUUAUAUGGGUAGUAUAGGAGCCCACACAUGAAGAGAUUGUCAAGGAGAAAAUCGAAAACAUUGAACUCAUAGGUCUGAAUCUGAUGCUGAUUUAACCUAUGCAUAAACACAAAGAAACGUGGUCCUACACUUGAUCCUUAGACAGAUACUCCAAGCUCAAAAGAUAGUUGAAAUCAGGUGAAGAAGAUGAGAUGGUGGCAAUUGCAAGAUAAGAUGUUCCUCAAUGAUAAAAGAGGACCACAAUCAGUUUGCUGGAAGUUUCUAGAGAUCUGUUGAGGCAAAUGGUUGAGUUGAUAGAUAGCUCAGUCCAAUGCCGACCCAACUUGGAAGGAUUCAACUCAAUGGUGCCCACUUUUGGUAUUAGAGUCUUGAAGGUAAAGUAUCUAAUGAUGCUCCAUUGGACCAUAUAAUAUGCAGUGGAAACCACUGUUGGCCAAAUGAAAAAGGAGAAGAAAAAACCAUUAUCUUGGGAAGGCAAAUGCCAAAUCUGUCUGUUUAGGUAGCACGAGAUUUGCAGGAGUUGACAGAGUCAUCGAGCAGGCAGGGGGGCGGGUGAUGGAAAGUAAGGACCACCAUCAGCCACCACCAUGUGCCAACCCCGAAUCGAAGGCACGUCAUUGCUCGGCCAACGCCACAAUCAAUUGCCAUCUGAAUUAUGAAUGUUGAGGCCUUUUAGAAGCAGGAUGGGGGCGACAAUGAAAACUGACCCUUCACAAGUCACGUCUCACUUGAUCAAACAUGCCAAUUCCCAUUACAGGACCAUUGCAGCUGAGUGAGUACCUUGGAGCAAUCCAAUAUCCAUCCACACAAGCAACCACAGAGAGAUAGAAGUGGGAAUUGGAGUCAAACAUUAACAUUUCACUCCAACACUCGACUCGAUCAGCUUCUCUCGAGUCGAAAUUCGAGGUUUCUUGGCCGAUAUGGACGAGAAAAGUGAAACAAAAAUGAGAUGCUAGGACCACAAAAGGCAUGUGAUAAUGAGUCAGCUGAGACAAAGGGGGGGUUUUGGUUAGCAAUGGUAAUCAAAGAGCAAGUGACAGAUGGGCCUUUGGGGCAGAAGAAAGGCAAGGCUUAUCAGCCUUUUCAUUAUCAAAUAAAUGCUAAGAUUACAUGUGAGCUGUGAUGCUUCAAUUCACAGCUCAAGGACCCAUCUCUUUCAAUUUUAAUUACAUUUUGUUUUCUCUUUUCUAGGCAUUUUGAGUCUUUUGUUUUUCGCUAAAUGUUGAAAAAUAUGGAGCAUUUGAGGGAGCCAUAACAAUAGGAAGAAGAGAGGAAAUUCUGUGUAGCGGUAACAUAUUCACUACUAGUAGAUAUUGUCCGUUUUGGCUUGUUAUAUAUCGACAUCAACUUCGUGUUUUUAAAA
This is a non-coding RNA of Cucurbita pepo subsp. pepo (vegetable marrow), 3565 nucleotides long. The record is from RefSeq and is a predicted model, not a curated record. Lineage: Eukaryota; Viridiplantae; Streptophyta; Magnoliopsida; Cucurbitales; Cucurbitaceae.